GAAAACGCAUAUAUAUGUUCUUAGUCAACACCGAUAGCUUUCGCCAGACAUCUAUAUGCGCCCACAGCACUCAAAGGGUUAAACUUAUUACACUUAAAAUAUGCACUUGGAGACCAAACGAACGCAUUGUAACCCCAAACUCUUUUACCCUGACGUCACUUUAGGCGACCACUUCUAAAUAUUCUCCGGACAGUUGAUACCUCUACUCUAAAUAUUCUCAGGACAGUUGAUACCUCUAAAUAUCCUCCGGACGGUUGAAACUUCUAAAUAUCAUCUGGUCAAUUAACACCUCGCCACCCUGAUAAGGAACUUCCAGGAACAAUAUCCCCUCCAUCAUUUUCAUUGUUCCUGCUUAGUAUUUAGACUCCGAAUAAUGACGGCCGAGCCAGUCUGAACUGUGAACCGAUACUUGAACAUUGUAAGUGGUAGCCAAGGGUCUUGGACUCUUGAGAAAUAAAGUUUUUUGUAUCAUCAAGAGAGUUUCUUUUUUACGUGACAGCAUCAACGACAAAUCAUCGUUGGUUCCCUUAUACCGUUUUCUCUUUCGAAUAAGAUCUAUAAAAUAAAAAUUAGCUUCUGUGGUAGAUUAUUUAAAAAGAAACACGUGUUAAAUAUUCUCGUCUAUAACGAAUCACCAUUUUGAUAUUUACAUAUACAAUUUUAUAAGUAUACGUAUGCGUUAAAAUUAAUUUGUUUCGAUGAUAAAAUUUGAAACGCACUUUGGUAGAUAUUGAAAACGUCUGUUAUUAUUGUUACGCCCCGAGGCUCACUGUACGCCGUGUUCCUAACCGUCUCGCUACUACAGUGUCGCAGACAGAUCGUCUUACAUAUACGAAAUAUACACAACAUAGCGAUAAACGCAUAGUUGUCGUCAAGCAGCGAGUUCUAAAAAACAUCGAUUCGCCUUCGGUUCGAUAUUUUACCUACACAAAAAAGGUAGCAUACGUGAUCAUAGGCGAGAACGGUCGCGAGACCCGAACAUGGUGGGGUCGUCUCCAAGUGAAGACAAAGGAAAAAAUCGAAGGGCAGUCAGUAUCAUACGAGGAGUCAAACCGAAUGCUUCGAGAGGUUCAGAGAAAUAAAAUCAAGUUCGCUUAGCGAAACGAAUACGUCGAGAAAUACUAUAAGUCGAGUCGAAUUGUAAUAAUAAACUAGUUGUAUCAUCGUUAAAUCAUUUGUAACGUGUUAAUUUUAAAUAUCGUUAAAAAUGGAAGCUUGUAUUAAUCCUUGUUAAUUCAGUGUUCUGUUAUCCUAAUCGAAACAGGGAAACGACUGAUUCGCGGCGUCGAUAUCAAAAUCGUAACGAGAAUUUACGCCUCUCGCUGACGCGUUUCCUCGCGAUCGCGUCUCUCCGCGAACGGUCGUGACAGUUAUGAAUAUUUAUUCAUUUUUCACUAAAUAUUCUUGCUAGCAACUAUGUAAUGAUAGAUGCGCAAAAAAGUGUAGAAAAGUUAUGAUUUCCCUAAAGGCAUUGCUAAAAUUUGAUCAGCAAGUUAUAGAAACUAAUAUUACGCUCUGGAAACUAGUGCAACUGAAGCUAGAAAUAUAGUACAUGAAUUUUGGAACUCGUUCACACAAGUUUAAAUAACAAGCCAAACUGAAGUAUACGAAUAAAAAAUGCAGGUUAGCAGAUAAUGCGUGAAAAAUAACGCGAAGUUUCGGCGAAAUAUACCAUCAGUUUUUCUAAUUUGAAAACCUUCUUUUUUUCACUUCCGAACACAAAUUUUCUCGCUCUGCCUGCCUCCCAGAGGCAGAUACUGCGAUCCAUCAUAAACGGUCUAGCCGAAAAUGUACGAAAUACGCGACCAAAAAUCCGGUAACGUUAACGCGCAAUGAUUAACUGGAAACUGCGAAAUGAGUAGGUUGCCAGUAUAUUUACAUAAAUAUGUAUAUACGUAGAUGCAGUAAAGAUUCACUUUGAUGUUACCACUGGUUUGUAAAGCUAACUAAAAACGUAAGCUUUGCGUCUACUUAUGUAAUAUAAUUCAGCAGCUAAGCAUGCAGAUACCGAUGCAUCAUCAGCUAUUUUACCUACUUUUCGUUCACUCGGGAAUAUAGUAGCGACUAUACGCGAUAAUAAACAUUUCCAUGCUCGUUUCUCUCUCAGCAUGAUCAUUUCGUUUUCGCGUAUUAUUCCCGCUGAGUACGCGCGUUUAUUUAUACGUGUAUUAUCUCCGGAAUCUUUUUAUGUGUCUAUGAAAUUUUUCGAUCUGUAUUUUUCUUGAUUGUUCGAGAAUAGACCGAUUCUAAAAUAAAACGUAGUUUACGAGCGUGAAAGCGAUAAUUAUUCGGCCGAGUCAGGAUAUUGGACUUUCAAAUAGAAAUUGCACUUUCUUCGAUAUUUAGAGACAAAGGGACUUCGCUUUAUUCCUAUUGUAUAAAAUAUUGCACAUUACAAGACGCUGCGUGUUAUUCGUUAAAUUGAGCAAACGUGUCUUUCAAUAGCACGUUAUUAUAUUUUUAGAAGAAAAAGUCGUUACAAUAAUAAAUAUUGUCAAAGUUUCUCACUCUUUGGGUAGCAACGUAUCCUAAUAGUUAGAGGCUAGACUCACAACGUGUCGUCGAAUGAAAAUCAUACGGUUUUCUCAAAAUCACGAAAUCUUUAUUUUUAUCAAAACGGUUCAUAGGAUGGUACUUUCCAAGUUGAUGAAUUUAUACACUGUCGCUCAACUGUUGUAUGUAUUUGAUAAGAAAGAAACUUGGACUUUUAGUGGGCUAACAAAAUUUAGAAUUUAAUUAUUUAAUUAAAUAUACUUUAUGUACGGAAUUAAUUACAGAUCCUAAGGAUCAUAUAACGUAAUGAAUACUUUGUUUUAAGAAUUCGACGUGCAGAAUAACUGCUUCGAAUAUCGCCACCCGUAAUAUCUUGAAAAGAAGCAUUGGCAGAAUUGGGGUUGUAGUGAAACAUGUGUAAAGGAACGUAUUUUAUGUACGUGGAAUACAAAUAACGUCUCUUUCGUCUGACACUAAUUUCAUGUAAAAUUGUCUCUUUGUGUUUACUUGGAAAUCUGAUAGGCGAUAUUAGGCGCACUUGCAAUAUUAAAAAAACAAAAAAAUUAAAGAUACAAAAGUAUUUCUUAAUUCUUUUAGCCUCGUGGAUAAACAUAAACAUGUGAUGUUUUUCUUAUAAACCUCGCAGUUAUUUUUACGUUUUUACUUAUGUUUUUACUUAUCGUAUUACCAUGCUCGUAUCAGCAGGUGAUUCUUCUCUUAACAUUUAUAAAUUAUAUUAUCGCAUAUAUGUGCGCGCGCGUAUAUUCGUAAGCUUUAACAUAAUUGGAUAAUAAAUCGUUAACUGAAAAUUGAAUACCCGCGGGCUAUGGUUCGUCAGGUUUGUGAAAGCGUCGAGCGUUAAUUGGGUUGCAUUUAUUAGUCACCCCGAUCGCGCUAUCUCGCAAUUGCGGGUUCGCAAUCGAUGUCAAACCUACAGGGCAUGCCAAUGUAAUCAGCAUAGCAAAUUUUGUUUCUAAACUGUACGUCAAGAUAUCGGCGAUUUUGCUUCGAAUCAAAAACGACCGACUUGUUUGAAGAAUGAAAACGUUCCACGUAAUGUUAUAAAUUAUGGAUGGGAUAAUUGCAACUUUUCAAGAGUCUACAUUUUUCUUCCUCUUCUUGCGAUUCGAAUUUCUCGACAUUUAGGUAAAUAAGAAUUUUUUUUGAUUUUAUUCAAUUCGUCGUAAGCCAAUUGAAUUCAUUUUAAUUGGUGUGAUUUCACCGCAAGACUAAUUCGAUAUUCUGAAAGAAGACUGUUGUAAUUAGAGUGCGGAUAUUUAGACGAAUUCAUACUUCUGUGUUAAUGUAAUUUAAAAAAAAAAAAAAAAAAAAAUAACCUGGGAUCUAGACAGAAAUUUAUUUUAUCUAUUGAGUAUCCUAACAAAUACUUGCAGUUUGCAUAUUUCAUAGAUUUUCGCGUGUUCUGGGCAUUCUGCUAAUUUUUGCGUCUGCAAAUUUCAAGUAAAUGUAUGAAAAUACAUGAUCUAGUUAUGAUUUUAGCUCCAGUCGAAAUAGAUGAAAAUCCCCUCAAAAGAAAGAAAAAUUCAGCAUUUCGACUGUGUUGAGUGCCUACGAAUUCCUAUUUCGCGAAUCUAAAAAUCACAAAUCACACCGUCUCUGCUAUAAAUUUGCAUACCGUGACGGUUAACACUUUGACUGUCACGUUGGUAUCGAGUUUAGAAAGUCAUUAGACAUAAAUUCUGUACUCAAGGAUAUUUGUGUUCUACGUAGCGACAAGGACCCGGAGAAUCAGCGAUUAUUUUAAUUCAUCGGAUAAGAAAUUUAUGAAACAUUUAAUUCUAGAAAAAAUUAUUAAUCUUUCAAUUACAGUUUACGAUGAGAUUCGGAAAUUGAAAAUAUAGAAUACAAAUGUACAUUAAUAUAAUAUGUUAAUGCACGUAUGACAUAAUAA
Long non-coding RNA from Bombus terrestris (buff-tailed bumblebee), 4405 nucleotides. RefSeq lists it as uncharacterized. The record is from RefSeq and is a predicted model, not a curated record. Lineage: Eukaryota; Metazoa; Arthropoda; Insecta; Hymenoptera; Apidae. The transcript is spliced from 2 exons.